ACUACUUAUUUCCCAGCAAAUCCACAGCAGUCCUACCACAUCACUUCGGAAGUGGGAAUCACUCAGGAGCCUCAGCAAAAGUUUCAGCACCAUCAGAAAAGUUCUAGUGGAACAUUUCUGUGGAGGACGGAGUGAGAGGAGGUGGACAGGAAGAUGAUUCUCCCCUGACUUGGUGGAAGAAAUGAAAAAUAUCUCCCAUAAAAAAGAAGGGAAUCUAAUCAAGAGAAGCUGUGUAAUAUUUACACCCUUCUUGAACAGAGCAGAGGAGUGAGUCAUCACACUUAUCUCAGCACAGUCCCUGACAGCAGCAUCUGAGGCACUGGGCAGCAUCUCUGAGCCAGAGCAGGGUGGGAGAG
Molecule: long non-coding RNA, 356 nt
Filed under: Cyanistes caeruleus (blue tit)
Lineage: Eukaryota; Metazoa; Chordata; Aves; Passeriformes; Paridae
Description: lncRNA (ENSCCEG00000008765.1)
Source: RNAcentral